UACAUAUAAUUUUUAUUGACACCUUAAUAAAGCUAGAAAAAAAUAAGUGAAAGGCCUAGUCCGAUGCCCCUUAGAAGACUAGAUUCUAUUUGCAAAUAGGACUCACUGCUGAAAAUUAAUUUUUCAGCUACCCUGGGGUUAAUUGCUCAUGAGGCUCAGCUCUGCAUGGGGCACCAUAAAGAGGCCUGUGGACUAACGGAGAAUCAGGAUUAGGGUAAUAGCCCUUGAAAUGUACCUUCUUGGGAGCUUACAGAAGUGGAGCUCCCCACAGGUAGCCACUACAGAGACAGGCACUGGCUAUUUGCUUGUUUUGCAGUAAACGAUAAGUGUAGAUGUUUUGCAGUUUUUGCUGAGAGAAGCAAAAGGUUGUCCUGAGUCACUGGACACUUACAUUCUCUUUUCAAAACUACUACAAAAAUAUUUAGUACUUAACUAGAAUGUACAUUGAAAUUAUAUUUCCCUAUAAUCCUGUUUGUGUCAGCACAUUAAAAUUCCCUUGAAUGUUUCUUAUGUAACCACUUCUGGUUAACUCUUAUCUUGAAGUUAGUACAAUUUAGUCUUUGCUGUCUUUUUCAUCACUGUGAAAGUCCCUUUCUCAGAUUCUUCAAUUGCAUCAAAUUCCCCAUGCACUCCAAAUCUUAUUCCACUCCCAAUUUAUGUAAAACCAAUUGUGCUUUCAGUCUAUUUAUUUUAGUUCAAGUAGACACCUUAUUUAAAGAGGCUUUAUAGCUCUCAUACUAAUUACUUAUGCACUCACCUGUACUGCAUGAUGGGAGAAAUGCGCAGCCUUCACCGUCAUCAAAACGUUCAGUAAAUACUUAAUUUUUCAUGUCUUUGAUUGAUACUAUGUGAAGAUUUACAAAGAGUUACACAAAACUGGCUUCUUUUCACUAGAAGCUGAAAUUGGAAAGUUGACACAGGUAUAUGGACAAAUACAACAUAAAGCAAAAGUGCAAUUAUUUGGCCUGAUCAAUGUUUAAGUGUGCCCAAGCUCAUUUCCACUUCAUAACAUAUGCUGGUUGUUCCAUCUCCUUUUAAUUCUCUUCCUCCAGAUCUUUAUAUCUCUUGCACUCUCACUUUAUUAUUAAUUUUUGUUGCUGUUGAAAUGCUACUUUCUCAGAGAAAUUUUUUUCUGAUCCUGUUUUCUAAAAUAGAGUUUUCUCCAACAUUUUUACAAAAUUACUCUCUAAGUUCUUAACUUGAUUUUUAUAUAUAUGUUACCAUCACACUUGUCAGUACCUGAAACUGUAUUAUAGAUCAAUUUCUUUGUUUAUGGUUUGUCACCAUAGAAUGAAAUUCCAUAAAGGCCACAAAUUUGUCUUAUUUAUUACUAUAUUUUUAGUGUUUGAAAUAGUGCCUGCUACCUAGGAGGUGCUUGUUAAAUUUUUGUGAGUUAAUGAAUGAAUAAGUCUCAUUUGAUUCAAAAUGAAAGGUGAGGUGAAAUAUUGGGAACAUAUCAAAGAAGAUGUUAAAAUGGUGAAGGAAGAGUCAUCAGGAACACUGUUGAAAUAAGAGAAGGAUCUUAGAGAUUGCCUGCUUGUUGAAAAAGAAUGGAGGAAAACCCAGGUGGAGAAAUUCCAAUUUUGAAUCAAUUUAGGAGCACUGAACAGUAUGAAAGAGAUAUUCUCAGCUGAGUUGUUUAGGGCAGGGGUAUUUGAACGAAAGAACCUGUUGCCUCUUUUUGAUUCCUGAGCUUGAGGAGUUGAGAACAAUGGGUAAACAAUGUUUGUUGUGGCAUGGUACUCAGGGACAUAUCUGCUAGCACCCAUGGAUCUGUUAUCUGUUCCAAACCAAAUCUGGCAGCCUGGUAAAGUGAGGAUUCCAGUUGUCUUGGGUAGUAACUACACUUUCUUUCUUUCUUUCUUUUUUUUAAAUCAUCUGCUACAUUUCUCAGAACUAGGGAAUCCCUGAAAGAAAUUUUCAAGACAUAGAGCACAAAGACUGGAUCUGUUUGUUAUAUUUUGAGUAAGAAUAGAGGCUACUAUUCAGGAAAUGCACUUUGUUAUUUGAGGAAGGGAAAUGUAGAAAGGGCAGUCUGCCCAUUAGCCUUUUCUAAAAAGCAAUCAGUAUUUCCAGUGGCAUCCUUAGCUGGUCAAGCCUCAUAGAACAGUCUUGCCCUGGGGCAUUAUACCUGUUGUGCCCAUUUGUUAUGGGUUUUUCAUGAGUCUCCCAAUUUCAGAAUGUUGCCGUGUUGUCAGACCUUGUGCCUGCCAUGCUAUGGCAUGUUGUCACAAUAAGGCUUCUGAUUUUAGGUGCCGUUUUAUAAUUAUUGAAAAAGUUAGGUAUGUGACAAAGUAUGCUGGACUUCAUAGAUAAAACAAAGUCUACAAAAAAUUUUAAAAAUUAGUCUCUAAUUUUUGCUACUUGUAUAUAUUAAAACCAAUGUGAAUUCUCUGAAUCUUGUCCAGAAUUUCAACCUACUUAACCCACGUGAUUCACAUGAGAAGGGAGGCUAGGAGGGAGAUGGAUCGAGAAAAAUGAAAUAGGAGGAUGUAUUUCACAAUAAAUAAUGAGAAUUUUAUGUAAAGUUCCAAUUAGAAAGAAGGUAGAUUUAGGCCUUCUAAAUAAACUUAAGGUUUCAAGAACCACUUGAAGAAAUCUGUAAAGAGGAGGAUAUCAAGAGCAGGAGGAUAUCUGAGCUAUACACAGUUGUAGCCCAGAUGAAGUAGUACAGGCCCCAAGAAAAAGAAUGGUUAUACAAUGUGACCAAUACUUCCCAAUGGAAGGCUUUUCCAUAUAAUGUAUAACAGAAGUGGUACACAUUCAUAGCAAUUUGAUAAAACAAUUAUAUUUUCCAGUUAAUAGUCACAAUAAUCCUGAUAGGUACAAAAGGUAUUACAAUUAUCCCACUUUUAAGUUAAGAAAAAUGAGUUCUGGAGUGUCUGAGCUUGUAUGUAAGACAUAAAGGCUUUUGGAACUCAUUCAGUGAUUACACAGAGAGAGUCUAUUUCUGCCUGAAACACACAAGGUAAAUUGUGUCUUUAACAACCCAUCUCCUAUCAACCAUCUAUCCAAAAGGCAGGUGCAUCAUAACAGCACAGUAAGUAGAAGGUUCAGGAAGAGCAUGAGAGCUUUUCUUACAGAAAGAGAUCACAUCAAUUGCCUAUUGUGAGUGGAUUACCUUGUGAAAAAUAAGCAUGAUUUAAAUUUUCAGUUGACAGUCAAAAUUCAAUAAACUACUUCGGUGUUGUCAAAGCUGUUUUCUGUAUUCAUAUUACAGAAAAUGGGCCACUUAAUCUUUAAAAAGUGAUCAAUUAGUCUAGCCUACAUCGCUUCUUAUUGGCAAUGCAUGCUACCAGGUGGCUGCUUUUGAAUCUUUAAAAAAAAUUAAAGAAAAUGUCUGAAAGGCAAGGUAAAGAGUAUAAUGAGAUAUGCUAACUUCUUACAAAAUUCUGAAUAAACUCAUGAAACUCCUAAAAUGUUAAUUAGUCCUCUUGUGCUGUAUGCUUAUCACACCUGUUUAGUUAUGCCACCACAGACAUGUUCCCUGGAAUUCUUAUUCUAGUCUGUGACUUCUAGUUAAUGAUGUCAUAAGCCUUUCUCAGUACAUAGUGGCACCAAAAUUCUCUUGUCACUUGGUACAUAGUUCAUAGGGAUGGGAGCACAGAGAAUCAGGUUAGUGGGCCUGGAUUUUAGUUCUGAACUUGUACUAGUUCAUGCAUUUCUAAAACUGUACUUAAAGAAACACAUGCAUGCCCAGGCCCACCCUUAGCCAUUUUUAUAUAGUCAGACUUGAGUGAAGCAAAAAUACCUGUGAUUUUCACAAAGUGUUUCUGAAGCACAGCUCUGCUCAGAGCCCUUGCUUUACAGGUUCCAAUAGUGUCAAAUCUAUGUCACUUAGCCUGAAUCCUCUGGAAAGCCGAGCCUGAAGCAAUGAUUAUGAUUCUAAUAGUUUAUUUUCCAGAUACAAUCACAUCACAGGAUGUUGAGCCUCCUCACCCCAUGUGGAGGUGAGGCUUUCCUCAGGUGGUCCCCUGCCAAAGUGGGGAAGUCAGCUGGAUUCCUUAUCCUACUCAGUAAGAAGGUAUCAAGUGCCUACAAUGUACCAGGAUGCCAUUGGCUCUGGGGAUAUAGCAGUGCAAGACAGAAAUGCAGCUCAUGGAGCUGGCGUUCUGAUGGUGAGAUGCAAGCACCAAACAAAGGAAAUACGUAGAUGUCACUGCUACACGUGUUGAGAAAGAAGAUCAUGCUCCUUGAAUCCUUUCUUGUGCAAGACCUUUGAUUCCCUCGUAAGAAAAGAAGCUGCUUUAGAGUGAGGGCUUCAGACCUUUCAUCAUCCUGGCUCUGGUCCAUCCAUCCUUUCUCUGAUCUGUAGCUCAGGAAUGGGGUGAAGUAGACAUGCCCCAGAUGCAUGUCACUGCCAGGCAGGUCCUUGGAUGGGAAAGUACAAGAUGUACUCACAGAAAGAUGUCCAGAUAAAAACAGCUGUUGUACUAAGAGAAAACUUAAGAUUUCUGGAGAAAAGCAUCCAUAAAUGGCUCCUGCAUAAAUGGUUCCUGAAGUAUAUGCAAAAUGGGAAGUGGCAGCACUUACAAGAUUUUUUAAAAAGCUUUAUUCGAAGAAAAUAUAUUCUCAAAACCACUCAGUCAGGUUGAUGUCUAAAAUAGAGGUCGGCAGUCUCUCAAAUGUGGUGGUGCAUAAUAAUAAAGUCAGCGUAGUUUCUAACAAAGAGCAGAGAAGAGGAUGUGGUAGCCUCAUCUGGCUCUCAUGCUACCUCAUGUGCUAUCACAGGAACCCCAUACCCGUCAGAUUCCAACAGGAAAUAGAUGGCACAUCCAAAGUAAGAAAAUUAGACAGGUAUUUACUUAAAAAUGAGUGAUUUAUCCUCUGUAGCUGUAGGAAAAAUUCAUGGGAUACUGCAGUAACCUGGGCUGAUUGUAGCUGCACUAUUAUCACACCUAGGUGGGAAGGGAUGUGCGGAGGGAUGGUUUCUUGGAAUCUGA
Molecule: long non-coding RNA, 4943 nt
Filed under: Homo sapiens (human)
Lineage: Eukaryota; Metazoa; Chordata; Mammalia; Primates; Hominidae
Description: HSALNT0335299
Source: RNAcentral